CAGGGAUUGCCUCAGUAUCGGCGAGUGAAGCGGCAAAAGCUUAAAUUUGAAAUCUGGCAUCAGCCCGAGUUGUAAUUUGUAGAGGAUGUCUUCAGCAAAAGGCUUUGAGUCUAAGUUCCCUGGAACGGGAUAUCAUGGAGGGUGAGAAUCCCGUACAUGGUUCAUUGUCUCUUGCAUCAUGAAGCUCCUUCAACGAGUCGAGUUGUUUGGGAAUGCAGCUCAAAACAGGAGGUAAAUUCCUUCCAAAGCUAAAUAUUAGCCAGAGACCGAUAGCGAACAAGUAGAGUGAUCGAAAGAUGAAAAGCACUUUGGAAAGAGAGUUAAAAAGUAUGUGAAAUUGUUGAAAGGGAAGCGCUUGCAACCAGACUUUUCACUGUAGGUUAGAUCAUCUAGGCUCUUUGGCCUAGUGUACUCUACCUAUAUUGUGUGCCAGCAUCGGUUUGUUAGUCGAGAGAAAAAGGUAGUGUGUUGUCGAUUCCUCCGGGUAUUUGGCAUGCAUCUACAGGUACAUCUUGAACCCAGACCGAGGACAGCGCUUUUUGCAUGGAUGCUGGUGUAAUGGUUGUAAGCGGCCCGUCUUGAAACAC
Molecule: ribosomal RNA, 587 nt
Filed under: Hesperomyces virescens
Lineage: Eukaryota; Fungi; Ascomycota; Laboulbeniomycetes; Laboulbeniales; Laboulbeniaceae
Description: LSU rRNA
Rfam family: Eukaryotic large subunit ribosomal RNA
Source: RNAcentral